UACGUAGGGCGCAAGCGUUGUCCGGAAUCAUUGGGCGUAAAGAGCUCGUAGGCGGCCUGUUGCGUCCGCUGUGAAAUCCCGGGGCUUAACCCCGAGCCUGCAGUGGAUACGGGCAGACUAGAGGUAGGUAGGGGAGAAUGGAAUUCCCGGUGUAGCGGUGAAAUGCGCAGAUAUCGGGAGGAACACCGGUGGCGAAGGCGGUUCUCUGGGCCUUACCUGACGCUGAGGAGCGAAAGCGUGGGGAGCGAACAGG
This 253-nucleotide ribosomal RNA is filed under the name uncultured bacterium. RNAcentral's name for it is "partial 16S ribosomal RNA". It matches the Rfam family "Bacterial small subunit ribosomal RNA", at positions 524 to 776 of the family's 1533-position model. The record is from RNAcentral.